Molecule: ribosomal RNA, 645 nt
Filed under: uncultured bacterium
Lineage: Bacteria
Description: bacterial SSU rRNA
Rfam family: Bacterial small subunit ribosomal RNA
Source: RNAcentral
CGCGGCCUAUCAGCUUGUUGGUGAGGUAAUGGCUCACCAAGGCGAUGACGGGUAGCCGGCCUGAGAGGGCGACCGGCCACACUGGGACUGAGACACGGCCCAGACUCCUACGGGAGGCAGCAGUGGGGAAUAUUGCACAAUGGGCGCAAGCCUGAUGCAGCGACGCCGCGUGAGGGAUGAAGGCCUUCGGGUUGUAAACCUCUUUCAGGAGGGACGAAGCGCAAGUGACGGUACCUCCAGAAGAAGCCCCGGCCAACUACGUGCCAGCAGCCGCGGUAAUACGUAGGGGGCGAGCGUUGUCCGGAUUCAUUGGGCGUAAAGAGCUCGUAGGCGGCUCAGUAAGUCGGCCGUGAAAGCCCAGGGCUCAACCCUGGGAGGCCGGUCGAUACUGCUGUGGCUAGGGUCCGGUAGAGGAGAGUGGAAUUCCCGGUGUAGCGGUGAAAUGCGCAGAUAUCGGGAGGAACACCAGUAGCGAAGGCGGCUCUCUGGGCCGGUACCGACGCUGAGGAGCGAAAGCUAGGGGAGCAAACAGGAUUAGAUACCCUGGUAGUCCUAGCCGUAAACGUUGGGCACUAGGUGUGGCGGAUUCAUUGACGUCUGCCGUGCCGUAGCUAACGCAUUAAGUGCCCCGCCUGGGGAGUACGG